RNAcentral lists this non-coding RNA (23 nucleotides) under Callorhinchus milii (elephant shark). The record is from RNAcentral. Lineage: Eukaryota; Metazoa; Chordata; Chondrichthyes; Chimaeriformes; Callorhinchidae. RNAcentral also lists the same sequence under 3 other names.
CAAAGUGCUGACAGUGCAGGUAG